Lemur catta (Ring-tailed lemur) is the source of this 316-nucleotide long non-coding RNA. RefSeq lists it as uncharacterized. The transcript is spliced from 3 exons. The record is from RefSeq and is a predicted model, not a curated record. Lineage: Eukaryota; Metazoa; Chordata; Mammalia; Primates; Lemuridae.
UGUGGCAAUGCCUCAGGAGUUUCAGCGGUGAGCAAGCAGGAUUUUUCCUGAAAACAGGAUCUGUCCUAAGAACUUGUUGAAAAUAUAAUCCUUGAAGUACACAUGGAUUUGUGUACAUUGCAAUGAUUUCAUGGCUCUCUAGAGGUCUUGCUGAUCUAAGAAAAAAAGCAGGUUCUAGCUCUAUCUGUAUCUCUUGUUAGCUAUACAACCUUGGGUAAAUCAUUCUAUAAGCUUUAGUUACCUCUAUUCAGUUACUAAAAAGUGAAGGAACUCUUUGUUUUGCUUACUACAGGAAAUUAUUAAUACAAAGACUAUA